This 1328-nucleotide ribosomal RNA is filed under the name metagenome. RNAcentral describes it as "bacterial LSU rRNA". It matches the Rfam family "Bacterial large subunit ribosomal RNA", at positions 1579 to 2925 of the family's 2925-position model. The record is from RNAcentral.
UAAGUAGCGAAGUAGCUGAUCUCACACUGUCGAGAAAAGCCUCUAUCGAGGUUAAAGGUGCCUGUACCGCAAACCGACACAGGUGGGUGAGGAGAGUAUCCUAAGGCCAGCGAGAGAACUGUUGUUAAGGAACUCGGCAAAAUGACCCCGUAACUUAGGGAGAAGGGGUGCCUUCGAAAGAAGGCCGCAGAGAAUAGGCCCAAGCGACUGUUUACCAAAAACAUAGGUUUCUGCUAAGUCGCAAGACGAUGUAUAGGAGCUGACGCCUGCCCGGUGCUGGAAGGUUAAGGGGAUCUGUUAGAGCAAUCGAAGCAGUGAACUUAAGCCCCAGUAAACGGCGGCCGUAACAAUAACGGUCCUAAGGUAGCGAAGUUCCUUGUCGGGUAAGUUCCGACCCGCACGAAAGGCGUAACGAUUUGGGCACUGUCUCAACAACAGACUCGGUGAAAUUGUAAUACCGGUGAAGAUGCCGGUUACCUGCGACAGGACGGAAAGACCCCAUGGAGCUUUACUGUAGCUUGACAUUGAGUCUCGGUGCUACAUGUACCGGAUAGGUGGGAGACUAUGAAGCAUGGACGUCAGUCUGUGUGGAGUCAUCCUUGGGAUACCACCCUUGUAGUACUGGGAUUCUAACCAGAGGCCAUGAAUCUGGUCUUGGGACACUGUCAGGUGGACAGUUUGACUGGGGCGGUCGCCUCCCAAAAAGUAACGGAGGCGCUCAAAGGUUCUCUCAGUACGGUCGGAAAUCGUACGAAGAGUGUAAAGGCAAAAGAGAGCUUGAUUGCAAGACAUACAGGUCGAGCAAGGACGAAAGUCGGACUUAGUGAUCCGGUGGUUCCGCAUGGAAGGGCCAUCGCUCAACGGAUAAAAGCUACCCUGGGGAUAACAGGCUGAUCUCCCCCAAGAGUCCACAUCGACGGGGAGGUUUGGCACCUCGAUGUCGGCCCAUCACAUCCUGGGGCUGUAGUAGGUCCCAAGGGUUGGGCUGUUCGCCCAUUAAAGUGGUACGCGAGCUGGGUUCAGAACGUCGUGAGACAGUUCGGUCCCUAUCCGUCGCAGGCGUAGGAAAUUUGAGGAGACCUGUCCUUAGUACGAGAGGACCGGGAUGGACGUACCGCUGGUGUACCAGUUGUUCUGCCAAGGGCAUGGCUGGGUAGCUAAGUACGGAAAGGAUAAGCGCUGAAAGCAUCUAAGCGCGAAGCCCACUUCAAGAUAAGAUUUCCCACCGCAAGGUUAAGAUCCCAGGAAGACUACCUGGUUGAUAGGUCAGAGGUGUAAGUGUAGUAAUAUAUUUAGCUUACUGAUACUAAUAGAUCGAGGACUUGACC